Molecule: ribosomal RNA, 899 nt
Filed under: uncultured bacterium
Lineage: Bacteria
Description: bacterial SSU rRNA
Rfam family: Bacterial small subunit ribosomal RNA
Source: RNAcentral
AGAGUUUGAUCCUGGCUCAGGACGAACGCUGGCGGCGUGCUUAACACAUGCAAGUCAAGGGGGCCCAGCAAUGGGCAACCGGCGAACGGGUGCGUAACACGUGAGCAACCUACCGAACUGUGGGGGAUAGCCGGCCUAACGGCCGAGUAAUACCGCAUACGCUUUCAAUGAGGCAUUUCAUUGAAAGGAAACCUACGGGACAGAUCGAGGGGCUCGCGGCCUAUCAGCUAGUUGGCGAGGUAACGGCUCACCAAGGCAACGACGGGUAGCUGGUCUGAGAGGAUGGCCAGCCACAUUGGGACUGAGAUACGGCCCAGACUCCUACGGGAGGCAGCAGUGGGGAAUCUUGCGCAAUGGCCCAACGGCUGACGCAGCGACGCCGCGUGUGGGAUGAAGCUCUUCGGAGUGUAAACCACUGUUGCCCGGGACGAAUAGCUCGAUUAAUCGAGCCUGACGGUACCGGGUGAGGAAGCACCGGCUAACUCCGUGCCAGCAGCCGCGGUAAUACGGGGGGUGCGAGCGUUGUCCGGAAUCACUGGGCGUAAAGGGCGCGUAGGUGGUUUGAUAAGGGUGUGGCGAAAGUCCGGGGCUCAACCCCGGAUCUGCCGUGCCGACUGUCAAACUCGAGGGCUGUAGAGGCAGACGGAAUUCCGGGUGUAGCGGUGGAAUGCGUAGAGAUCCGGAGGAAGACCGGUGGCGAAGGCGGUCUGCUGGGCAGUUUCUGACACUGAUGCGCGACAGCGUGGGGAGCAAACAGGAUUAGAUACCCUGGUAGUCCACGCCGUAAACGAUGGGUACUAGGUGCCUGGGGGAGCGACCCUCUGGGUGCCGGCGCUAACGCAGGAAGUACCCCGCCUGGGGAGUACGACCGCAAGGUUGAAACUCAAAGGAAUUGACGG